Solanum tuberosum (potato) is the source of this 1186-nucleotide RNA transcript. It is a transcript of the gene named phosphatidylinositol-glycan biosynthesis class F protein, with no coding region annotated. The transcript has 9 exons. The record is from RefSeq and is a predicted model, not a curated record. NCBI's taxonomy places the organism in Eukaryota, Viridiplantae, Streptophyta, Magnoliopsida, Solanales, Solanaceae.
GAGGCCUGUACACGGUUCUUUCGGUUAAAGUUCUCUUCAGACUCGGCCCGUAUGCUUAGGCCCAAAUAACUCUCUUCAUAUCAGGUUUGGUUGCAGAAUUAGGGAGAUGAAGAUGAAGAUGAAGAUGAAGAUGAAGAAGAAUGAUCAAAAUGGCGGAAAUACGAUAUUGUCUGUAUCACCAUUGAAAGCUAUUACUCUUCAUCUGAUAUGCUUACUAGGGUUAGCUUUAGCUUUCUGGAUACCUAGUCAUAUCUACUCGCUCGAUCUCAUCACGCAUCCAUCCCAAACUCUUCGCAUGAUUUCGGUGUUUCUGGCUCCAGUACUAAUUCUUCUUUACAGUCACCUUCGACACGAUAGGACCCAAUGCUCUUACGUCAAAGCUGUAGGACGAGGCUUGCUGGCGCUUCCUGCCGGAGCCGUAGUAAAUGCACUCGGAGCUACUAUAUUAGGAGCACCUGUUGGUUUCGAGUAUUUCUCCAAGACCUUUAAUUGGUCUCUUCUGAUGUCACUACUCACUUUUGUACCAGCAGCUUGUGUUUUUGGCUCAUCAUGGACUGAUUGGCACCGAAUAUUUGCUAGAACAAAAGCAAGUGAGUCCACAGACUAUAUGAUCAGUCUACCUGCUCAUGGAGCUGUUAUUGGAGCAUGGUUUGGUGCUUGGCCAAUGCCACUUGAUUGGGAAAGCCCAUGGCAGGUAAGUAGGGCCACCUCACACAAUCUUGAGGAACCUUGUACAUAUCAAAGUAGGAUACCAAGUGCUGCUAGGAGGCAAGGCAAACCUUGUCAGUUUUUUGCACUUCCUCGUAGAUUGUUUCCACCUCAUCAGUGGCCUGAUUAGUAUAGCUCGUCCUUAUGGAAGACACACACAUCUGCUGGAAACCUGUUUGUGUUGCUCUGGACACUUCGAAGUGAACCAUAUCUGUGAAUGAGAGGUGGUGGGAAUCUGCUAGAUGAUUUCUUCUUAAAGAAACUAAGCUAAUAGUUCAUUUACCAUAAUGAAGUAUUAUAUCCUGCUAUACUAGUACUAAUGCAAAAGAUAAAGCGAUAUAAAGGAGAGAAGAAAAAAGGUUGGUGCUUAUGUGGCUCCUUUUUGUUGGGGGAAUGGCCUAUUUGUGUGACUUAUGGAGCUAUAGCUGGUUACCUCGUGGGGCUUGUGACAUCCUUGGGCUGCAUUAUCUUCUGUAAC